AACGCAGGCGGUUAGAUAAGUCUGAAGUUAAAGGCUGUGGCUUAACCAUAGUACGCUUUGGAAACUGUUUAACUUGAGUGCAGAAGGGGAGAGUGGAAUUCCAUGUGUAGCGGUGAAAUGCGUAGAUAUAUGGAGGAACACCGGUGGCGAAAGCGGCUCUCUGGUCUGUAACUGACGCUGAGGCUCGAAAGCGUGGGGAGCAAACA
This 206-nucleotide ribosomal RNA is filed under the name uncultured bacterium. Its description in RNAcentral is "partial 16S ribosomal RNA". It matches the Rfam family "Bacterial small subunit ribosomal RNA", at positions 568 to 774 of the family's 1533-position model. The record is from RNAcentral.